GCAGGGUGCGAGCGUUAAUCGGAAUUACUGGGCGUAAAGCGUGCGCAGGCGGUGAGCUGUGUCCGAUGUGAAAGCCCCGGGCUUAACCUGGGAAUGGCAUUGGAAACUGGCUCGCUGGAGUGUGGCAAAGGGGGGUGGAAUUCCGCGUGUAGCAGUGAAAUGCGUAAAGAUGCGGAGGAACACCGAUGGCGAAGGCAGCCCCCUGGGCUAACACUGACGCUCAGGCACGAAAGCGGGGGGAGCAAACAGGAUUAGAUACCCUGGUAGUCCACGCCCUAAACCAUGUCAACUGGGUGUUCGGGAAGCGAUUCCUGAGUACCGUAGCUAACGCGUGAAGUUGACCGCCUGGGGAGUACGGCCGCAAGGUUA
This 369-nucleotide ribosomal RNA is filed under the name uncultured bacterium. Its description in RNAcentral is "bacterial SSU rRNA". It matches the Rfam family "Bacterial small subunit ribosomal RNA", at positions 527 to 896 of the family's 1533-position model. The record is from RNAcentral.